AUUGAACGCUGGCGGCAGGCCUAACACAUGCAAGUCGAACGAGUGGCGGACGGGUGAGUAAUGUCUGGGAAACUGCCUGGUGGAGGGGGAUAACUACUGGAAACGGUAGCUAAUACCGCAUACCAUCGGAUGUGCCCAAAUGGGAUUAGCUAGUAGGAGGGGUAACGGCUCACCAAGGCGACGAUCCCUAGCUGGUCUGCGAGGAUGACCAGCCACACUGGAACUGAGAGACGGUCCAGACGCCUACGGGAGGCAGCAGUGGGGAAUAUUGCACAAUGGGCGCAAGCCUGAUGCAGCCAUGCCGCGUGUAUGAAGAAGGCCUUCGGGUUGUAAAGUACUUUCAGCGGUGAGGCGUUACCCGCAGAAGAAGCACCGGCUAACUCCGUGCCAGCAGCCGCGGUAAUUC
RNAcentral lists this ribosomal RNA (406 nucleotides) under uncultured bacterium. RNAcentral's name for it is "partial 16S ribosomal RNA". It matches the Rfam family "Bacterial small subunit ribosomal RNA", at positions 30 to 526 of the family's 1533-position model. The record is from RNAcentral.